RNAcentral lists this ribosomal RNA (301 nucleotides) under uncultured bacterium. Its description in RNAcentral is "partial 16S ribosomal RNA". It matches the Rfam family "Bacterial small subunit ribosomal RNA", at positions 509 to 808 of the family's 1533-position model. The record is from RNAcentral.
CAGUCGCCGCGGUAAUACGUAGGUGGCAAGCGUUGUCCGGAAUUAUUGGGCGUAAAGCGCGCGCAGGUGGUUUAAUAAGUCUGAAGUUAAAGGCAUUGGCUCAACCAAUGUAUGCUUUGGAAACUGUUAGACUUGAGUGCAGAAGGGGAGAGUGGAAUUCCAUGUGUAGCGGUGAAAUGCGUAGAUAUAUGGAGGAACACCGGUGGCGAAAGCGGCUCUCUGGUCUGUCACUGACGCUGAGGCUCGAAAGCGUGGGUAGCGAACAGGAUUAGAUACCCCCGUAGUCCCUGUCUCUUAUACA